GUUGUGCUGACGCUGUACUUCACCUCGGACGGCUACCUGGGCCUGGACCAGCAAUACAGCCUGCAUCUCAAGGUGCUGGAGGCGCCGCGUGCAAGCGACCGGCAGCAGCACCAGAAGGACCAGCAGGACCAUCAUGAAGGACCUUACUCUCCAACUGACCACAAGAAAUAUGAUCUUCCCGUCGCAGACGCCGUGGCAACGUCGGCCAUAUCCAGCACCUUCGGCCAGGAUUUCCCGCCCCUGAAACCUGGCGGGAGUUUUGACGAGGACCUGACGUGGUCGACGAACACGACCUCGAGCGUCGUGAGCGACUCGACGCCCUUCUCUUCCAGGGCCGCCACUGACCACGAGUCCUCCAAGAGCCCAGACCUGGACGACGGGUGCUGGGCCGCACCGCGCCCUACUUCUCUGGGGCCCAACAUCCCAGACCGUGACGGGGGUCUUAAGAAAUCGGGGAGCGGAGAAAAAAGAGGCAGCACUAACAACAGCCGGGCUGGCAGUCAAAGUAAUAAUAACAGCCGCGCUGGGAGUGUCAGCAGCAACAACAGCCGUGGCAGCAGGCACGGCCGAGGCGGCAAAAAGAACGAGAAGCGUCAGUAGGUCCUGCGAUGUUAUAGUUCAAUGAGAAAUGUUGAAUCUGGCAUGUGGAGUUUACUUUAUAAAUGAUUAUUAAUUACUUUUCUUGUGUCUAAAAAGAUGCACAAGGCACCAAUCAAACCAUCACCCUUUGGAUGACCCUCAAUGAUCCCAUUAAUAGCAGUUUCUCAUCGAUAAACACGAGUCAACCAUAUGUCGAGUCAACCGAGUCAUGGUUACCGAUAAACACGAGUCAACCAUAUGAGCUGACGCAUACGCUAGAUAUGCUAAGAAACUACGUGGAAUCUGGUUGAUUGUACACCAGCACCGCUCUCCUAUCAAUUCUUUUUCAUGUCGGGCCGAGCAAGCAGCUCUCAUUCAGCAAGCUUCUCAACCGAGCUAAGCACCACAUUUUUGUUUGCUUCUUAAUUACAUGAUUAUAAAACUUUUCUGCGUUCUCUUUUGAAUUGUUGACUUGUUAGUGGAUUGAAAUAGGACAUCUUUUCUGAGUGAUGGCUAUUUAUUCGGUGCUCCACGUACAGAUAAUAAUGACGCUAAUAAAGCUAGUCAACAGUG
Long non-coding RNA from Hyalella azteca, 1152 nucleotides. RefSeq lists it as uncharacterized. The transcript has 2 exons. The record is from RefSeq and is a predicted model, not a curated record. Lineage: Eukaryota; Metazoa; Arthropoda; Malacostraca; Amphipoda; Hyalellidae.